Molecule: non-coding RNA, 148 nt
Filed under: Homo sapiens (human)
Lineage: Eukaryota; Metazoa; Chordata; Mammalia; Primates; Hominidae
Source: Rfam by way of RNAcentral
GCUGGGUGUGGUGGCUGGCACCUGUAAUCCCAGCUACUGGGGAGGCUGAGGCAGGAGAAUCACUUGAACCCAGGAGAUGGAGGUUUCAGUGAGCUGAGAUCAUGCCACUGCACUCCAGCCUGGGCAACAGAGUGAGACUCUGUCUCAA